Molecule: ribosomal RNA, 434 nt
Filed under: uncultured bacterium
Lineage: Bacteria
Description: partial 16S ribosomal RNA
Rfam family: Bacterial small subunit ribosomal RNA
Source: RNAcentral
AGCGAACGCUGGCGGCAGGCCUAACACAUGCAAGUCGAACGAACCUUUCGGGGUUAGUGGCGGACGGGUGAGUAACACGUGGGAACGUGCCUUUAGGUUCGGAAUAACUCAGGGAAACUUGUGCUAAUACCGAAUGUGCCCUUCGGGGGAAAGAUUAAUCGCCUUUAGAGCGGCCCGCGUCUGAUUAGCUAGUUGGUUGAGGUAAUGGCUCACCAAGGCGACGAUCAGUAGCUGGUCUGAGAGGAUGAUCAGCCACAUUGGGACUGAGACACGGCCCAAACUCCUACGGGAGGCAGCAGUGGGAAAUCUUGCGCAAUGGGCGAAAGCCUGACGCAGCCAUGCCGCGUGAAUGAUGAAGGUCUUAGGAUUGUAAAAUUCUUUCACCGGGGACGAUAAUGACGGUACCCGGAGAAGAAGCCCCGGCUAACUUCGUG